GGCUUGCUGCCUGAAGAAGAGUUCGCGCUCUGAUUAGCUAGUCGGUGGGGUAAGAGCCUACCCAGGCGACGAUCAGUAGCUGUCUGAGAGGACGAUCAGCCACACUGGGACUGAGACACGGCCCAGACUCCUACGGGAGGCAGCAGUGGGGAAUUUUCCGCAAUGAGCGAAAGCCUGACGGAGCAACGCCGCGUGAGGGAGGAAUGCCUGUGGGUUGUAAACCUCUUUUCUCAGGGAAGAAGAACUGACGGUACCUGAGGAAUCAGCAUCGGCUAACUCCGUGCCAGCAGCCGCGGUAAUACGGAGGAUGCAAGCGUUAUCCGGAAUUAUUGGGCGUAAAGCGUCCGCAGGUGGCUUACCAAGUCUGCUGUCAAAGCGCAGGGCUUAACUCCGUAAAGGCAGUGGAAACUGGUAGGCUAGAGUGCGACAGGGGUAGAGGGAAUUCCCAGUGUAGCGGUGAAAUGCGUAGAUAUUGGGAAGAACACCAGUGGCGAAGGCGCUCUACUGGGUCGCAACUGACACUCAUGGACGAAAGCUAGGGGAGCGAAAGGGAUUAGAUACCCCUGUAGUCCUAGCUGUAAACGAUGGACACUAGGCGUUGGACGUAUCGACCCGUUCAGUGCCGUAGCUAACGCGUUAAGUGUCCCGCCUGGGGAGUACGCACGCAAGUGUGAAACUCAAAGGAAUUGACGGGGGCCCGCACAAGCGGUGGAGUAUGUGGUUUAAUUCGAUGCAACGCGAAGAACCUUACCAGGGCUUGACAUCCCGCGAAUCCUCUGGAGACGGAGGAGUGCCUUCGGGAGCGCGGAGACAGGUGGUGCAUGGCUGUCGUCAGCUCGUGCCGUGAGAUGUUGGGUUAAGUCCCGCAACGAGCGCAACCCUCGUUUUUAGUUGCCAUCAUUCAGUUAGGCACUCUAGAGAGACUGCCGGUGACAAACCGGAGGAAGGUGGGGAUGACGUCAAGUCAUCAUGCCCCUUACGUCCUGGGCUACACACGUACUACAAUGCUUCGGACAAAGGGUUGCCAACCAGCGAUGGUGCGCUAAUCCCAUAAACCGAGGCUCAGCUCAGAUUGCAGGCUGCAACUCGCCUGCAUGAAGGAGGAAUCGCUAGUAAUCGCAGGUCAGCAUACUGCGGUGAAUACGUUCC
Molecule: ribosomal RNA, 1149 nt
Filed under: uncultured cyanobacterium
Lineage: Bacteria; Bacillati; Cyanobacteriota
Description: bacterial SSU rRNA
Rfam family: Bacterial small subunit ribosomal RNA
Source: RNAcentral